RNAcentral lists this ribosomal RNA (506 nucleotides) under uncultured bacterium. Its description in RNAcentral is "partial 16S ribosomal RNA". It matches the Rfam family "Bacterial small subunit ribosomal RNA", at positions 28 to 523 of the family's 1533-position model. The record is from RNAcentral.
GAUGAACGCUAGCUACAGGCUUAACACAUGCAAGUCGAGGGGUAACGAGAGGGAAGCUUGCUUUCCUUGUCGACGACCGGCGGAUGGGUGAGUAACGCGUAUCCAACCUGCCCUUCAGUAAGGGAUAGCCUUUCGAAAGAAAGAAUAAUACCUUAUGUGAUCGUUUGAUGACAUCAGACGACGAUCAAAGAUUUAUCGCUGAAGGAUGGGGAUGCGUCCCAUUAGGCAGUAGGCGGGGUAACGGCCCACCUAACCUACGAUGGGUAGGGGUUCUGGAAGGAAGGUCCCCCCAAGGGGAAAGGAGACACGGUCCAAACUCCUACGGGAGGAAGAAGGGAGGAAUAUUGGUCAAUGGCCGUAAGGUUGAACCAGCCAAGUAGCGUGCAGGAUGACGGCCCUAUGGGUUGUAAACUGCUUUUAAACGAGGAUAAAGUGAGCCACGUGUGGUUUAUUGCAGGUACCGUUUGAAUAAGGACCGGCUAAUUCCGUGCCAGCCGCCGCCGUAA